UCAUCAAAUCCAACGGCUCAUAUAUCUCUACCCCGAUCGAACGAUCAAGAUCAGCUCCGCCUCUCUUCCGCAUGCCGAUCGCUCGUCACGGCUCCGUUUCCGCGCCUCCCCUGCCAACGCCCCGCGCACAUCACGCCCUCACCCCUCCCUGCCACAUCUUCAACCCCCAACUCACGCAUCGUCCCCCUCCUCUCUCCUGGACUCCCCAUCGUCGCCGUCGCCGCAUGCCGCUCCUCUCCCCACUCGCGGGAGAGGAACUCUCUCCAAACCCUAACCCUAACCUCCUCUCUCUCCACGAAUACGCGCUGCACGCUGUUGCGCGCUCCCCUCCCCACUCGCCGGUUCCUCCGCGUCUCACCUGAUCUCCACCUCGAAAUCCGCCGCCGGAGCAGCGUUGGGUCGUCGCCCUCGGUGGCUCAUGUCGCACUGUCGCCCACCUUCGCGCCGCCACCGGUCUCCUCCGCACGAACGAAGGAUGGCGCUUGACCGUGGAUGAGGAGCGGAUGUCCUGCUCAAUGAGAACUACUGUGGAUGCAGUUUUUCUUUCAGUUUUGGUGACUUCAGUGCUGCUAUUUUAUGAGAUUUUCCAUUGUUUGUGAUCAGUAAGCAAGCAU
RNAcentral lists this long non-coding RNA (614 nucleotides) under Oryza sativa Indica Group (long-grained rice). RNAcentral describes it as "lncRNA OsLiXu_04g0004440". Lineage: Eukaryota; Viridiplantae; Streptophyta; Magnoliopsida; Poales; Poaceae. The record is from RNAcentral.